ACGGGGUGCAGCAGGCGGGAAAAAAAUAACAAUGCGGGAAACCGCGAUAAGGGGACACCGAGUGCCAGCAUUUAUGUUGGCUGUCCACAAGAGAAAACGGCAUGUGUUAGAAGGGCCGGGCAAGACCGGUGCCAGCCGCCGCGGUAACACCGGCGGCCCGAGUGGUAAUCACUUUUAUUGGGUCUAAAGGGUCCGUAGCCGGUUUGAUCAGUUCUUCGGGAAAUCUGACAGCUCAACUGUUAGGCUUCCGGGGAAUACUGUCAGACUUGGGACCGGGAGAGGUAAGAGGUACUACUGGGGUAGGAGUGAAAUCUUAUAAUCCCUGUGGGACCACCAGUGGCGAAGGCGUCUUACCAGAACGGGUCUGACGGUGAGGGACGAAAGCUGGGGGCACGAACCGGAUUAGAUACCCGGGUAGUCCCAGCCGUAAACGAUGUUCGCUAGGUGUCAGGGGCGGUGCGACCGCUUCUGGUGCCGUAGGGAAGCCGUGAAGCGAACCACCUGGGAAGUACGGCCGCAAGGCUGAAACUUAAAGGAAUUGGCGGGGGAGCAC
Molecule: ribosomal RNA, 553 nt
Filed under: uncultured archaeon
Lineage: Archaea
Description: bacterial SSU rRNA
Rfam family: Archaeal small subunit ribosomal RNA
Source: RNAcentral